Long non-coding RNA from Etheostoma spectabile (orangethroat darter), 385 nucleotides. RefSeq lists it as uncharacterized. The transcript has 2 exons. The record is from RefSeq and is a predicted model, not a curated record. Lineage: Eukaryota; Metazoa; Chordata; Actinopteri; Perciformes; Percidae.
AACAUGGAAUAAAAUAAGCAGUGCAAAAGAAGGAAAGAUAAAUAUGGUUUUAUAUACAGUGUGAUAUGUAGUGUGAAGUAAUGAUAUUGAAUAGUAGUGAAAUUGCACAGAAUUAUAAUUAUCAAAAGUAUUAAAUAUUACAUAUUGCACAGUAGGUGGGUAGAGGAAAGUCUGGGAGUUAGACUGUGAAGUCAGUGCACGUGUGAGUUUAAAAUGGUAAUGGCUUUUGGAAAGAAACUGUUCUCUAGUCUGUUAGUCCUUGAUCUGAUGCACCUGUAGCGCCUCCCUGAGGGCAACAGGUCAAACAGAUCAAAGCCAGGGUGGGGGCUGUCCUUGGGGAUGUUUUCUGCACUGCUGAGGCACUGGGAGGUGUAAAUGUCCAUCA